RNAcentral lists this long non-coding RNA (386 nucleotides) under Ricinus communis (castor bean). RNAcentral describes it as "long non-coding RNA (RCOM_LNC001333)". Lineage: Eukaryota; Viridiplantae; Streptophyta; Magnoliopsida; Malpighiales; Euphorbiaceae. The record is from RNAcentral.
UUGAGAACUUGAAGAAGCAAAGAAGACGAGAAUCAAAAUUGGAAUGGUGCAACCCACCACAAUGUUUGUUGCUUGUGAGUUGGGAGGUCGACGUAGAUGGUUUCUGAACAGAACUCCACUUUGGUAAGUGUUUCUCAUAAAACAGAACUUCCCACUUCUUGCUUCUAUUUUUUCCCAUUGACUAAAUAGAUACAUGUAUAUGCAAAUCUUCGACUCUCUGAUAUGCUCUUCUGCUACAUAACUUACUGGAUAUCAUCCGUACAGUGCUUUCUUCAAUUUACUAUGUGAUACACCAAACUAUCUGAGAAGAACUCUUUCGGCACGAAUGUUAACAAGGAGUAGAAGUAUUUUGGAUUGUGUUUACGAGAAAGAGAUUUACAUAUCAC